Molecule: ribosomal RNA, 275 nt
Filed under: uncultured prokaryote
Description: partial 16S ribosomal RNA
Rfam family: Bacterial small subunit ribosomal RNA
Source: RNAcentral
UACCGGGGUUGCGAGCGUUGUCCGGAAUUACUAGGCGUAAAGGGCAGGCAGGCGGAUCCAUAAGUUUAUCGUUUAAGGCGUCGGCUUAACCGGCGUAGGGCGGUAGAUACUGUGGAUCUGGAAUGCGGUUGGGGAAGACAGAAUUCCUGGUGUAGCGGUGGAAUGCGCAGAGAUCAGGAGGAAUACCGAAGGCGAAGGCAGUCUUCCAAGCCGUUAUUGACGCUCAGCUGCGAAGGUGUGGGUAUCAAACAGGAUUAGAUACCCUGGUAGUCCCU